Molecule: long non-coding RNA, 312 nt
Organism: Populus trichocarpa (black cottonwood)
Lineage: Eukaryota; Viridiplantae; Streptophyta; Magnoliopsida; Malpighiales; Salicaceae
Exons: 2
Source: RefSeq, a predicted model, not a curated record
UUGUAUUUUAUUUUGUGGUUUAUUUGUAGUUUUUAUUUUUCAUUUUGAAUCAUAAUUAUAGCUAUGUAUUAUUUGCUGUUCUUGUUUGGACUGCUCAAUUACCAUCAAAGAUUUAACUAUAUAUCUGGCUUUUUUUGUUACCAGCCUAUAUCAUAUUGUGUGUGAAUCAAUUCCAACCUUCAUCAUGUUUGAGCCCAAGCCUCCCAAAUUAUUCGAGAGGAUCUUGCUAGUGCUGGAGCCACCAAAGGCCUACAUGCUGUGUGCUAGUGUUGACCGAGCCUACCAAGGGGGAACUGGGCAAGGAGGAUCAAG